GACAGUUUUCAGUUGACGCACCCCGGAAUCGGGCUCCCUCCUCUCUAGUUCUGGAUGUGUCACCCAAGAACCGCC
This is a non-coding RNA of Myotis lucifugus (little brown bat), 75 nucleotides long. Lineage: Eukaryota; Metazoa; Chordata; Mammalia; Chiroptera; Vespertilionidae. The record is from Rfam.